This 464-nucleotide ribosomal RNA is filed under the name uncultured bacterium. Its description in RNAcentral is "partial 16S ribosomal RNA". It matches the Rfam family "Bacterial small subunit ribosomal RNA", at positions 338 to 795 of the family's 1533-position model. The record is from RNAcentral.
CCUACGGGAGGCAGCAGUGGGGAAUAUUGCGCAAUGGGCGAAAGCCUGACGCAGCGACGCCGCGUGAGGGAUGAAGGUCUUCGGAUCGUAAACCUCUGUCAGCAGGGAAGAACGGUCACUGUGCUAAUCAGCAGUGAAUUGACGGUACCUGCAAAGGAAGCACCGGCUAACUCCGUGCCAGCAGCCGCGGUAAUCCGGAGGGUGCGAGCGUUAAUCGGAAUUACGGGGCGUAAAGCGCUCGUAGGCGGUAUGUCAAGUCAAGGGUGAAAUCCCCGCGCGCAACGUGGGAACUGCUUUUGAAUGUGGCAAACUGGAGUGUGUGAGAGGAUAGUGGAAUUCCAGGUGUAGGAGUGAAUCCCGUAGAUAUCUGGAGGAAAAUCAGUGGCGAAGGCGACUACCGGGCACAUAACGGACGCUGAGAGCGAAAGCGUGGGUAGCAAACAGGAUUAGAUACCCGGGUAGUC